GCCGGGCAUGGUGAUGCAUGCCUGUAGUCCCAGCUACUCGGGAGGCUGAGGUGGGAGGAUCGCUUGAGCCCAGGAGUUCUAGGCUGUAGUGCGCUAUGCUGAUCGGGUGUCCGCACUAAGUUCAGCAUCAAUAUGGUUACCUCCCGGGAGCGGGGGACCACCAGGUUGCCUAAGGAGGAGUGAACCAGCCCAGGUCAGAAACGGAGCAGGUCAAAACUCCCGUGCUGAUCAGUAGUGGGAUCGAGCCUGUGAAUAGCCACUGCACUCCAGCCUGGGCAACAUAGCGAGACCCCGUCUC
This 298-nucleotide signal recognition particle RNA is filed under the name Aotus nancymaae (Ma's night monkey). Its description in RNAcentral is "Metazoan signal recognition particle RNA (ENSANAG00000000447.1)". It matches the Rfam family "Metazoan signal recognition particle RNA". Rfam says of the family: The signal recognition particle (SRP) is a universally conserved ribonucleoprotein. It is involved in the co-translational targeting of proteins to membranes. The eukaryotic SRP consists of a 300-nucleotide 7S RNA and six proteins: SRPs 72, 68, 54, 19, 14, and 9. The record is from RNAcentral. Lineage: Eukaryota; Metazoa; Chordata; Mammalia; Primates; Aotidae.